This 627-nucleotide ribosomal RNA is filed under the name Halichondria sp. 2 JV-2020. RNAcentral describes it as "partial large subunit ribosomal RNA". It matches the Rfam family "Eukaryotic large subunit ribosomal RNA", at positions 346 to 793 of the family's 3401-position model. Lineage: Eukaryota; Metazoa; Porifera; Demospongiae; Suberitida; Halichondriidae. The record is from RNAcentral.
AAGUACCGUGAGGGAAAGGUGAAAAGUACUUUGAAAAGAGAGUCAAAAAGACCGCGAAACCGUUAGGAGGGAAGCGAAUGCAGCUGAAUCGGCUCCGCUCAAGUUCAGGAGCGACGUCGGUCAGCGAUGCCGGUCUGCAAGAGCCGAUAGGCUUUGCUCUCCGGAUAGCUGUCGACUCCUCUGCACUCUUGUGCGAGCCGGCCAACAACGAUUGCUCGCGGCUGACGAGGGCCUUCGGGUAGGUGCUCACUCUUCGGGGUGAUACUUAUAGCCGUCGGUCUGGAAGUCCGCUGGCGAUCGAGGAUAACUGGCAGUGCAGGCCUUCGGGGUCUUGGGCUGCUCUGGACCGUUUGGGCACCGCGUCAGGGUCUGCGUGCAGUGUCUGACGACGGAGGAACUCUCGGACCAGAUGCCAGUCACACCUUGCGCUGCAGUUGUUGGUGAUCGAAUGGCUGCAUCCGACCCGUCUUGAAACACGGACCAAGGAGUGCAACAUGCGUGCGAGUCUUUGGGUGGCAAACCCAGCGGCGCAAUGAAAGUGAAGGCAGGCAGUGGUCUGCCGAGGCGAGAGUCUCCCCUCGAGACGCAUCGUCGACCGAUCCCAGGUCACGCCGUGGCGGGAUUUGA